GCCGGCAGCUAGCUCUCUGCAACUCUCACAUGGUCACCCACUGAAGCUAAGCAGGGCUGCGCCCGGUCAGUACCUGGAUGGAAGACCACAUGGGAAAGCUAGGUUGCUGCCGGAA
Danio rerio (zebrafish) is the source of this 115-nucleotide non-coding RNA. Lineage: Eukaryota; Metazoa; Chordata; Actinopteri; Cypriniformes; Danionidae. The record is from Rfam.